RNAcentral lists this ribosomal RNA (514 nucleotides) under uncultured bacterium. RNAcentral describes it as "bacterial SSU rRNA". It matches the Rfam family "Bacterial small subunit ribosomal RNA", at positions 14 to 524 of the family's 1533-position model. The record is from RNAcentral.
UGAUCCUGGCUCAAUUGAACGCUGGCGGCAUGCCUUACACAUGCAAGUCGAACGGCAGCACGGGAGCAAUCCUGGUGGCGAGUGGCGAACGGGUGAGUAAAGUAUCGGAACGUGCCCAGUCGUGGGGGAUAACGUAGCGAAAGUUACGCUAAUACCGCAUACGAUCUAUGGAUGAAAGCGGGGGAUCGCAAGACCUCGCGCGAUUGGAGCGGCCGAUAUCAGAUUAGGUAGUUGGUGGGGUAAAGGCUCACCAAGCCGACGAUCUGUAGCUGGUCUGAGAGGACGACCAGCCACACUGGGACUGAGACACGGCCCAGACUCCUACGGGAGGCAGCAGUGGGGAAUUUUGGACAAUGGGCGCAAGCCUGAUCCAGCCAUGCCGCGUGCAGGAUGAAGGCCUUCGGGUUGUAAACUGCUUUUGUACGGAACGAAAAGGUUUGGCCUAAUAAGCUGAGCUCAUGACGGUACCGUAAGAAUAAGCACCGGCUAACUACGUGCCAGCAGCCGCGGUAAU